This 490-nucleotide ribosomal RNA is filed under the name uncultured bacterium. RNAcentral describes it as "partial 16S ribosomal RNA". It matches the Rfam family "Bacterial small subunit ribosomal RNA", at positions 30 to 507 of the family's 1533-position model. The record is from RNAcentral.
AUUGAACGCUGGCGGCAGGCCUAACACAUGCAAGUCGAACGGUAACAGGAAGCAGCUUGCUGCUUUGCUGACGAGUGGCGGACGGGUGAGUAAUGUCUGGGAAACUGCCUGAUGGAGGGGGAUAACUACUGGAAACGGUAGCUAAUACCGCAUAACGUCGCAAGACCAAAGAGGGGGACCUUAGGGCCUCUUGCCAUCGGAUGUGCCCAGAUGGGAUUAGCUAGUAGGUGGGGUAACGGCUCACCUAGGCGACGAUCCCUAGCUGGUCUGAGAGGAUGACCGGCCACACUGGAACUGAGACACGGUCCAGACUCCUACGGGAGGCAGCAGUGGGGAAUAUUGCACAAUGGGCGCAAGCCUGAUGCAGCCAUGCCGCGUGUAUGAAGAAGGCCUUCGGGUUGUAAAGUACUUUCAGCGGGGAGGAAGGGAGUAAAGUUAAUACCUUUGCUCAUUGACGUUACCCGCAGAAGAAGCACCGGCUAACUCCGUG